This 616-nucleotide ribosomal RNA is filed under the name uncultured Glomeromycotina. RNAcentral's name for it is "eukaryotic LSU rRNA". It matches the Rfam family "Eukaryotic large subunit ribosomal RNA", at positions 293 to 766 of the family's 3401-position model. Lineage: Eukaryota; Fungi; Glomeromycota. The record is from RNAcentral.
UGGGAGGUAAAUUUCUCCUAAGGCUAAAUAUCGGCGAGAGACCGAUAGCGAACAAGUACCGUGAGGGAAAGAUGAAAAGAACUUUGAAAAGAGAGUAAAAUAGUACGUGAAAUUGUUGAAAGGGAAACGAUUGAAGUCAGUCGUACCGACGAGAAAUCAACUUAUCGCGUGCGAACUUGUGGGCGUGCGUGAGUUUCGGCCUCGCUGUUUGCAUGUUUGUGCGUUUUGGGUGUACUUUUUCGUAUGGUAGGCCAACAUCAGUUUCGAUUACUAUAAAAUGACCGGCGGAAUGUAGCUUCGAUUUCGGUUGAAGUGUUAUAGCCUCUGGUAGAUGUGGUGGUUGGGACUGAGGAUUGCAACGAAUAUCCUUUGGGCUAUCCGUCUGAUCUCUGAAAGUUGCUCAGGUGCCGAAAGCGUGCUUACGGUCAUCUAAGUUGACGGUCAAUAGGUUAGAACGUGAUUACAUUCGUUAAGGAUGUUGGCGUAAUGGCUUUAAACGACCCGUCUUGAAACACGGACCAAGGAGUCUGACAUAUAUGCGAGUGUUCGGGUGUUCAAACCCCUACGCGUAACGAAAGUAAUUUUGGUGGGAUCACUUUUGUGUGCACCAUCGACC